Long non-coding RNA from Tigriopus californicus, 1105 nucleotides. RefSeq lists it as uncharacterized. The transcript is spliced from 3 exons. Lineage: Eukaryota; Metazoa; Arthropoda; Copepoda; Harpacticoida; Harpacticidae. The record is from RefSeq and is a predicted model, not a curated record.
GGGAUGAGCACUUUCACUUGAAAUCAUCAACUGAUGCGCACAGCCAUUAAAUAAUGCCUAAGCAAAGACAAGCCCGUAAAACAUUUCCUAUGACAAGGAGUUUAACAAAGACGUCUCUUUUCGGGGGAGAGAAACCAUUCAUGUUUCCUCAUGAGUUGCUGUGAGUCGCUAGUUGGUAGAAAUUGGCUAAUUGGUGUAAAAACAUGUUCUUAUUUGGUCGUGCGUCAUCGAUCAUACACACAAUUGAUGAUCUGUGGGUCCACGUCUCUGGUGUAGAAAAAAGCCGAGAAGCGGGAGGACGUUCAUCCCAAGCCCACUUGAAGAUACUUCUUGACAACAGCCAAGGUAUUAGUACGAGUAUUCCUUCAAAAUAUUACUACAGCUAGGGCGACUUAAAUGCACCGUCAUACCACGUCGGUUAAGAGAUUCUUUUUUGCAUUGCUAAGCACCAGGAACUUACGUACUUGUGCGUGUGUACUGUACGUGUGCUAGGUGGUGGGAUGGCACCGAUGGCAUCCAGUAUUGGCAAAAGUUCUUCGCGUUCCACAGAACCCUACCUAACCUCCCACCCACCCACCUGGAAUCGAUCAAUCAAUCAAUCCAUCCAUCCAUCCAUCCAAGCUGAAGCUGUACGUUCUCGUCACACCUGAGAUGCAUUUCAAAUGAAGAAAACAACGAGCAACACCACUCAUGCAUAGGAAAAUGAAGAAGGAAGAGAGAGAGAGAGAGAGAGAGAGAGAGAGGCCACCACUCAUAUCCAUAUUACUGCACAGAACUGCAGUAAUCGAGGAGGCCAACAUGUUGUGAUUGUGUAUUCAUGGAGGAUCAUUUCUAUACCUGGUUGUCCGCUUUGACAAAUGUGGAAAUCGCCCACGAAUCGGUGUCCUAUGAAUAGCAGUCAAGAUUAAAAGGGCCCUCUGCCGACGUCAAAUGCUCAAGAAAGCUGACGAAUCCUUACCAAAGAAACCACAAACUCAUCUUUAUUGAACAACCUUGGAAUAAACUCCUGGAUCAUGACAACAACAAGCACAGAAAUGAGUGGGUUCGUCUUUGUAUUGCUCAGUUGUUCAUAUACCUUUGCAUGCAUAAACUCAUAGUUGACUAC